Potamilus streckersoni is the source of this 70-nucleotide non-coding RNA. The record is from the annotation of a GenBank genome assembly. NCBI's taxonomy places the organism in Eukaryota, Metazoa, Mollusca, Bivalvia, Unionida, Unionidae.
UAUUGGCUUACUGGUUAGAGCGUCCGCCUCGGAAGCGGGAGGUCGUGGGUUCGAACCCCGGCCAAGUCAU